This 200-nucleotide long non-coding RNA is filed under the name Hordeum vulgare. RNAcentral describes it as "long non-coding RNA (HVUL_LNC001232)". The record is from RNAcentral. Lineage: Eukaryota; Viridiplantae; Streptophyta; Magnoliopsida; Poales; Poaceae.
UCCUUUGCGGUACUGUCAUCAAUCACCAAAAUUACUUAGGCAUAAACUAUGCCCCAACAUCCACACCAUCUCACCAAUUUGCAGCUCAUUUGGAAAAAGUGACCAAUGUAAUUAUUGCAAACCCUAGAAAUCAACAAAAUUUGUUUUAUUUUGAUCUAGCUAAGCUACACUAUUCUCCUUGAUACACCACUUGGUGUAGA